This is a long non-coding RNA of Centruroides sculpturatus (bark scorpion), 603 nucleotides long. RefSeq lists it as uncharacterized. The transcript has 3 exons. The record is from RefSeq and is a predicted model, not a curated record. Lineage: Eukaryota; Metazoa; Arthropoda; Arachnida; Scorpiones; Buthidae.
GUUGACUCAUCCCGCGAUCUAAGUUCCGAUCUCGUUACACUUAGUAACUAGUGAAGAUCAAUUAGAAAGCUAAGGUGAGUCGGAUCGAUCCAUCGAGAUGUUCGAUCUGGGACCCGAAAAGGUUAUAAAAUCGGAAUUCCAAGAACACAGAGGGCUUCUCUCUUGUACUUCUGAAUGUGCCACCUCUUCCUCAAAAGGAUUAUUUUCAUUCCUUAAAUUAAUUAACUCGAAAUCGGAAUAAGCAUUUCCUCUUCUAACAUCCUAUAACAACGCCCCGAGAUCGUCGACUCCUGAAGUAAUAUCGAAGGACCUUCCUCUUAGGACUUUCGUCAUCUGAGAAAAGGGAACCUGAAGAUUAGACCUCCACCGACAGAUAAAAGUUGAAAAACAGACAACAUAAUGCCUCUAACACAGGACGAACGCAUCGAAAUCGUUCUGAUGGCAGGGGAGAAGAGUUCCAGGGUGAUUACAUAGGCCCGGACGAAGUUUGCCAAUCGAUGUAACACACAUAAAAACAAUACGUGACACAUUACCACGGGGUUAUUUUCACGUAUCGACAGGAGAAGGAAACAGGAAGUGCAAAAUCCAAGUUAGUGUGACGUA